CAUAUACUUCCUCCGUCCAACAAAAAAUGUCUCAACUUUAACUAAAUUUGAAUGUAUCUAUACACUAAGUCAUGUCUAGAUACAUCCAAAUUUUAACAAACUUGAGACAUCUUUUGUUCGAAGGCGGGAGUAGUAC
Molecule: non-coding RNA, 136 nt
Organism: Brachypodium distachyon (stiff brome)
Lineage: Eukaryota; Viridiplantae; Streptophyta; Magnoliopsida; Poales; Poaceae
Source: Rfam